Molecule: ribosomal RNA, 262 nt
Filed under: uncultured bacterium
Lineage: Bacteria
Description: partial 16S ribosomal RNA
Rfam family: Bacterial small subunit ribosomal RNA
Source: RNAcentral
GUCCACGCCCUAAACGAUGUCGACUGGUUGUUGGGUGGGUAACCACUUAGUAACGAAGCUAACGCGUGAAGUCGACCGCCUGGGGAGUACGGUCGCAAGAUUAAAACUCAAAGGAAUUGACGGGGACCCGCACAAGCGGUGGAUGAUGUGGUUUAAUUCGAUGCAACGCGAAAAACCUUACCUACACUUGACAUGUCAGAGAUCCUUCAGAGAUGAGGGAGUGCCGCAAGGAAUCUGAACACAGGUGCUGCAUGGCUGUCGU